GAUCCGGCUCAGGAUGAACGCUGGCGGCGUGCUUAACACAUGCAAGUCGAGCGAAGCACUUUGGAAAGAUUCUUCGGAUGAUUUCCUUUGUGACUGAGCGGCGGACGGGUGAGUAACGCGUGGGUAACCUGCCUCAUACAGGGGGAUAACAGUUAGAAAUGACUGCUAAUACCGCAUAAGACCACGGUACCGCAUGGUACAGUGGUAAAAACUCCGGUGGUAUGAGAUGGACCCGCGUCUGAUUAGG
This 247-nucleotide ribosomal RNA is filed under the name uncultured bacterium. RNAcentral describes it as "partial 16S ribosomal RNA". It matches the Rfam family "Bacterial small subunit ribosomal RNA", at positions 15 to 245 of the family's 1533-position model. The record is from RNAcentral.